ACCGGCUGAUUCUACCGAGACACGUCGAAUGAGGAGACUAAUGGCCUAGUAUGUGAUCAUCAACAACCAACUCUCCCAUAGGUCAGCAUUUUUGCCCCUGCUCAAGUGCCUCUGACCCUCCGAAGCCGACUACACUCUUCGAGAGGUGCACGAGGGUAUUUGUGGCAAUCACUUGGGGGCAAAUCAUUCUUCUAUAAGAUAC
This 202-nucleotide long non-coding RNA is filed under the name Elaeis guineensis (African oil palm). RNAcentral describes it as "long non-coding RNA (EGUI_LNC060018)". Lineage: Eukaryota; Viridiplantae; Streptophyta; Magnoliopsida; Arecales; Arecaceae. The record is from RNAcentral.